GAUGAACGCUGGCGGCGUGCCUAAUACAUGCAAGUCGAGCGAAUGGAUUAAGAGCUUGCUCUUAUGAAGUUAGCGGCGGACGGGUGAGUAACACGUGGGUAACCUGCCCAUAAGACUGGGAUAACUCCGGGAAACCGGGGCUAAUACCGGAUAACAUUUUGAACCGCAUGGUUCGAAAUUGAAAGGCGGCUUCGGCUGUCACUUAUGGAUGGACCCGCGUCGCAUUAGCUAGUUGGUGAGGUAACGGCUCACCAAGGCAACGCUGCGUAGCCGACCUGGGAGGGUGAUCGGCCACACUGGGCCUGGGACAUGGCCCAGACUCCUACGGGAGGCAGCAGUAGGGAAUCUUCCGCAAUGGACGAAAGUCUGACGGAGCAACGCCGCGUGAGUGAUGAAGGCUUUCGGGUCGUAAAACUCUGUUGUUAGGGAAGAACAAGUGCUAGUUGAAUAAGCUGGCACCUUGACGGUACCUAACCAGAAAGCCACGGCUAACUACGUGCCAGCAGCCGCAGUAA
Molecule: ribosomal RNA, 515 nt
Filed under: uncultured bacterium
Lineage: Bacteria
Description: partial 16S ribosomal RNA
Rfam family: Bacterial small subunit ribosomal RNA
Source: RNAcentral